Long non-coding RNA from Chinchilla lanigera (long-tailed chinchilla), 1672 nucleotides. RefSeq lists it as uncharacterized. The transcript has 3 exons. The record is from RefSeq and is a predicted model, not a curated record. Lineage: Eukaryota; Metazoa; Chordata; Mammalia; Rodentia; Chinchillidae.
AAAGCCAGCCGGGAUUAUGUAGCGAGACCCCAUCUCAAAAAAUGGAACAAACAACAACAAACACAAAAAUCCAGAGCAAAUGGCACACAUAACUGAGGCAUUUCUGUGACGACAAGAAGCUGGAGACAACCGACAUCCUGAUCUCGAAAGAUGCCUUCAAGAACACAGGCAGAGGGGCCGGGGGUUGAGGGGAGCAAACCUGCCUCUCUUACAGGUGGACAGUACAAAGAUGUAGCAAUGCCCAGUACAAAAACCAGGAAAGGGACCUGUGACCUAUGCCCAGGAAAAAUAAAAAUGACUUCUGUUCACAGACGGAGACUGCACAGAGACACCGAGCGAUGAAGUUUGGUUUGUGGGGAGGCAGAUCAGGGACGGAUGGUUUCUUUUAUUUGGGUUCCUGGCCGCGGGAGAGGAAAUGUGUUUUAGGAAAAAACAGGAGAAUCCAUGCAGGUAGAAACGGCGAGUGCAGGUGAGGAGUAAGCAGUCAGGGUGCCCUGUCCAGCACCACUCAACCAGUAAGGGGUCUGCGGGGCAUACCGGUCUCCUGGGCCGCGCCGUGCGCAUGCGCACAUGUGUGCGCGUGGGGCGGCGGGGGGGCGGGUGGCAUAGGUCCAUGCGCGUGCGCACAUGCUCUUCUGCCGUGUGUGGCGAAGUGGCACUCUUUCUAAAGGGAGAGGGCUGUAGGAGGACCCAGGGUUGGUAGGAGGGGUUCGAGCAGGAGGAGAGCGGAGAUUGUUGGCUGGUCACCCCUUGACUGGGCCACCUACCGUACAGAGCUGUUCUCAGAAUGGACACUGGCUCUGCCAUCCCCCAGGGGUAUCUGCGGGGACCCUCUCCACUCAGAACAGGGAAGUGGCAGUAAUGGCAGUGGUAAGAGUGAUGACAGCUAGCAUUCGCCGCGGUCAGCUGAUGUGCAAGGACUGCCAUACGCCUUCCCCUGGGCAGCUUUUCUUCCCACCCCCGUAAGAUGGGGAGGAGUCCACCUUCCUCUAGGCCCGCAGGACGGGAGCAUGGGCAGCUGCCCUGGCCGCCACCAAGCGCCUGAAGGGCAAACCAAGGGUUGGAGAGGUAUCCAGCGACUGGUAGUGGCUGAACCAAAGCCUGAAUUCAAAUCUGUCUGACUUCAAGCUGAGCUCUUUGCAGGAAGCUACACAGAAAACUCAGAGGAUGACGGGAAACCAGGUUAGCCUCAAGGAGUGUCUAAAGCAGGACCUCGGCAGACGCAGGGUGGGAAAUAUACUACCAUGGGCUAUGCUGCCAGGGACUCCCAAGCAAAACAUCUGGAGGAAGCCGAAGUGAGUCAGGCAAGUGUCUGUGCAAAGGCUCUGUAACCCCAAGGAGGAAGAGGCUGAGAUCUGGCACGCAGAGAUGGGGGAUAAGGGUGGGGCCAGGCUGCGGAAGAAAGGGCCAGUGGGUGAUGGGGGUGGGGCAACCCAACCCCACAUGCUGACCCACCCGUUUGCUGAACUCUCAACAGAGCUGCACACCUUAAACAGUCAAGGAGUUGGAGGUGUGGGGAGAAAGACUGCAUUUGGUGCCUGGAAUCUGAAGUUCUGGUUUCUAACCCACGAGGAUGGUGGUAAUGAAGACAAGAGUGCUAGAAUGUUCCCUUCUGUUGCUGUGGAUUGUGGUUUUUAUCUCAUAUUCAUUUCUAUAAUUGGAUUAAAGCUUG